This 456-nucleotide ribosomal RNA is filed under the name uncultured bacterium. Its description in RNAcentral is "bacterial SSU rRNA". It matches the Rfam family "Bacterial small subunit ribosomal RNA", at positions 330 to 803 of the family's 1533-position model. The record is from RNAcentral.
UUUAGCUUCCUACGGGAGGCUGCAGUGGGGAAUCUUGCGCAAUGGGCGAAAGCCUGACGCAGCCAUGCCGCGUGAAUGAUGAAGGUCUUAGGAUUGUAAAAUUCUUUCACCGGGGACGAUAAUGACGGUACCCGGAGAAGAAGCCCCGGCUAACUUCGUGCCAGCAGCCGCGGUAAUACGAAGGGGGCUAGCGUUGCUCGGAAUUACUGGGCGUAAAGGGAGCGUAGGCGGACAUUUAAGUCAGGGGUGAAAUCCCGGGGCUCAACCUCGGAAUUGCCUUUGAUACUGGGUGUCUUGAGUAUGAGAGAGGUGUGUGGAACUCCGAGUGUAGAGGUGAAAUUCGUAGAUAUUCGGAAGAACACCAGUGGCGAAGGCGACACACUGGCUCAUUACUGACGCUGAGGCUCGAAAGCGUGGGGAGCAAACAGGAUUAGAUACCCUUGUAGUCGAAUUCUU